AAUCAACGCUGGCGGCGUGCCUCAGACAUGCAAGUCGAACGAUUAAAGCUCUCUUCGGAGAGUGCAUAGAGUGGCGCACGGGUGAGUAACACGUAAGUAAUCUACCUUCGAGUGGGGAAUAACGUCCGGAACGGACGCUAAUACCGCAUAAUGCAGCGGCAUCGCAAGAUGACAGUUGUUAAAGGAGCAAUUCGCUUGAAGAGGAGCUUGCGGCAGAUUAGCUAGUUGGUAAGGUAAUGGCUUACCAAGGCUACGAUCUGUAACCGGUCUAAGAGGACGGUCGGUCACACUGACACUGAAUAACGGGUCAGACUCCUACGGGAGGCAGCAGUCGGG
RNAcentral lists this ribosomal RNA (336 nucleotides) under uncultured bacterium. RNAcentral describes it as "bacterial SSU rRNA". It matches the Rfam family "Bacterial small subunit ribosomal RNA", at positions 32 to 359 of the family's 1533-position model. The record is from RNAcentral.